This 498-nucleotide ribosomal RNA is filed under the name uncultured bacterium. RNAcentral's name for it is "partial 16S ribosomal RNA". It matches the Rfam family "Bacterial small subunit ribosomal RNA", at positions 28 to 523 of the family's 1533-position model. The record is from RNAcentral.
GAUGAACGCUAGCGGCAGGCCUAAUACAUGCAAGUCGGACGGGAUUGAGAAGCUUGCUUUUCAUGAGAGUGGCGCACGGGUGCGUAACACGUAUGUAACCUACCCAUAUCAGGGGGAUAGCUUCUCGAAAGAGAGAUUAAGACCGCAUAACAUUAUUGAAUGGCAUCAUUUAAUAAUCAAAUAUUUAUAGGAUAUGGAUGGGCAUGCGGAACAUUAGCUAGUUGGUAAGGUAACGGCUUACCAAGGCUACGAUGUUUAGGGGACCUGAGAGGAUGACCCCCCACACUGGUACUGAGACACGGACCAGACUCCUACGGGAGGCAGCAGUAAGGAAUAUUGGUCAAUGGACGGAAGUCUGAACCAGCCAUGCCGCGUGCAGGAAGACGGCCCUAUGGGUUGUAAACUGCUUUUGCAGGGGAAUAAACCUCGAUACGUGUAUCGAGCUGAAUGUACUCUGAGAAUAAGGAUCGGCUAACUCCGUGCCAGCAGCCGCCGUAA